RNAcentral lists this ribosomal RNA (253 nucleotides) under uncultured bacterium. Its description in RNAcentral is "partial 16S ribosomal RNA". It matches the Rfam family "Bacterial small subunit ribosomal RNA", at positions 524 to 776 of the family's 1533-position model. The record is from RNAcentral.
UACGGGGGGGGCAAGCGUUGUUCGGAAUUACUGGGCGUAAAGGGCUCGUAGGUGGCCAACUAAGUCAGACGUGAAAUCCCUCGGCUUAACCGGGGAACUGCGUCUGAUACUGGAUGGCUAGAGUUUGGGAGAGGGAUGCGGAAUUCCAGGUGUAGCGGUGAAAUGCGUAGAUAUCGGGAGGAACACCAGUGGCGAAGGCAAUCCCCUGGGCCUGUACUGACGCUCAUGCACGAAAGCGUGGGGAGCAAACAGG